This 324-nucleotide ribosomal RNA is filed under the name uncultured eukaryote. RNAcentral's name for it is "partial 18S ribosomal RNA". It matches the Rfam family "Eukaryotic small subunit ribosomal RNA", at positions 1470 to 1796 of the family's 1831-position model. The record is from RNAcentral.
CCCUUAGAUGUUCUGGGCCGCACGCGCGCUACACUGAUGCAUUCAACGAGUUUCUUCCUGGUCCGAGAGGAAUGGGUAACCUUUUGAAAGUGCAUCGUGAUAGGGAUAGACUAUUGCAAUUAUUUGUCUUCAACGAGGAAUUCCUAGUAGACGUAGUUCAUCAGACUGCAUCGAUUACGUCCCUGCCCUUUGUACACACCGCCCGUCGCUCCUACCGAUUGAAUGCUCAGGUGAGCCAUUCGGACUUUCAUCAUGCUGGUUUCCAGUUUUGAUGAAGGAAAGUCUUGCGAACCUUAUCAUUUAGAGGAAGGAGAAGUCGUAACA